GCCCCAUGUGCCUUAGUGGUUAGAGUAUCGGACUAGGACCUGGGAGGCCAGGGUUCAAAUCCCUACUCAGCCA
This is a non-coding RNA of Podarcis lilfordi (Lilford's wall lizard), 73 nucleotides long. The record is from the annotation of a GenBank genome assembly. NCBI's taxonomy places the organism in Eukaryota, Metazoa, Chordata, Lepidosauria, Squamata, Lacertidae.